Molecule: long non-coding RNA, 335 nt
Filed under: Gallus gallus (chicken)
Lineage: Eukaryota; Metazoa; Chordata; Aves; Galliformes; Phasianidae
Description: long non-coding RNA NONGGAT008204
Source: RNAcentral
AGUCCCAUGGGAUCGCGCUUAGGAAUGCACUGCUGCUACUGCUGCUGCUGCUGCUGGUGGCCUUGACCCGAACACAGGAUGGCCAGGAGCCAGGCAAUGGCCGGGACAGGGUGGGGCGAUGCAUUUGCCAGUGCAGAGCCUUCAGUCACUGAGCUGAAACUGAAACGAGCUGCAGAGCCGGGCGUUAGCCGAGUGGCGCAGCACUGCGGGACGAGGUGCCACCAUGGAGCUGGGGAACAUCUCGCAGCCCGCGUACGGCCCCGGCCUCGAGGAGCCGAGCAGCAGCAUGCUGGGGCUGGUCCGCAUGCUGCACGGCUUCCUGCGCCUGGUGCAGC